Molecule: ribosomal RNA, 440 nt
Filed under: uncultured bacterium
Lineage: Bacteria
Description: partial 16S ribosomal RNA
Rfam family: Bacterial small subunit ribosomal RNA
Source: RNAcentral
CCUACGGGAGGCAGCAGUAGGGAAUAUUGCACAAUGGGGGAAACCCUGAAGCAGCAACGCCGCGUGGAGGAUGAAGGUUUUCGGUUUGUAAACUCCUUUUGGUAGAGAAGAUAAUGACGGUAUCUAACGAAUAAGCACCGGCUAACUACGUGCCAGCAGCCGCGGUAAUACGGAGGGUGCAAGCGUUACUCGGAAUCACUGGGCGUAAAGGGAGCGUAGGCGGGAGAGCAAGUCAGGUGUGAAAUCCUAGGGCUUAACCAUAGAACUGCAUUUGAAACUGUUAAUCUAGAGUAUAGGAGAGGUAGGUGGAAUUCGUGGUGUAGGGGUAAAAUCCGUAGAGAUCAAGAGGAAUACUCAUGGCGAAGGCGACCUGCUAGAACAUAACUGACGCUGAGGCGCGAAAGCGUGGGGAGCAAACAGGAUUAGAUACCCUUGUAGUC